This 885-nucleotide small RNA is filed under the name Histoplasma capsulatum. Its description in RNAcentral is "hypothetical RNA". RNAcentral also lists the same sequence under 1 other name. The record is from RNAcentral. Lineage: Eukaryota; Fungi; Ascomycota; Eurotiomycetes; Onygenales; Ajellomycetaceae.
CGAGUACAUCGUUGAUAUUCGAGAAUAUGAUGUUCCAUACCACGUUCGAGUUUCCAUUGAUAAAGAUAUUCGGAUCGGGAAAUGGUAUUCAGUCCAGUCCAAGAACGGAGUUAUUUCUUUAAGCUGUAUUGAGGACCGUCUCAAGCGAGCGGAUCCUGUCGUCCUGGCUUAUGAUAUUGAGACGACCAAACUGCCCUUGAAAUUCCCGGAUCCAGUUAUCGACCAAAUAAUGAUGAUAUCAUACAUGAUUGAUGGACAAGGAUUUCUCAUAACGAAUAGGGAAAUCGUCUCUGAAGAUAUUGCCGAUUUCGAGUAUACGCCGAAACCAGAAUAUGACGGGCCCUUUACCAUCUUUAAUGAACCAGAUGAAAAAAAGGUCAUCGAACGUUUCUUCGCUCAUAUUAAAGAGGCGAAACCUACUGUAAUUGCAACUUACAACGGUGACUUCUUUGACUGGGCAUUCGUUGAGGCUCGAGCUAGCGUGCAAGGGAUUGACAUGUAUGCUGAGAUCGGGUUUCGGAAAAAUAGUGAAGAUAUCUACCAAAGCAAUUACUGCGUUCAUAUGGAUUGCUUUGCAUGGGUUAAUCGAGACAGCUACCUCCCACAAGGAAGUCGAGGUCUAAAAGCUGUCACCGUGGCAAAACUGGGCUAUGAUCCAGACGAGCUUGAUCCCGAGGUCAUGACGAGAUACGCUAGCGAACGUCCCCAGACUUUGGCUGAAUACUCAGUUUCUGAUGCAGUGGCAACAUAUUACCUCUACAUGAAAUACAUCCAUCCGUUUAUUUUCUCCCUCUGUACGAUUAUUCCUCUUAACCCUGACGAUGUUCUCCGUAAGGGCACGGGAACACUCUGUGAGAUGUUGCUUAUGGUACAGGCAUACAGGGG